This 564-nucleotide ribosomal RNA is filed under the name Alternaria brassicae. RNAcentral describes it as "eukaryotic LSU rRNA". The stretch from base 185 to 338 matches the Rfam family "5.8S ribosomal RNA". The record is from RNAcentral. Lineage: Eukaryota; Fungi; Ascomycota; Dothideomycetes; Pleosporales; Pleosporaceae.
CAAAUUGGACAUUACCAAGUAUGAGGAGCGGGCUGGAUCUCCUUCUCGGGGAUAUACAGCCUUGCUGAAUUAUUCACCCUUGUCUUUUGCGUACUUCUUGUUUCCUUGGUGGGUUCGCCCACCACUAGGACAAACAUAAACCUUUUGUAAUUGCAAUCAGCGUCAGUAACAAAUUAAUAAUUACAACUUUCAACAACGGAUCUCUUGGUUCUGGCAUCGAUGAAGAACGCAGCGAAAUGCGAUAAGUAGUGUGAAUUGCAGAAUUCAGUGAAUCAUCGAAUCUUUGAACGCACAUUGCGCCCUUUGGUAUUCCAAAGGGCAUGCCUGUUCGAGCGUCAUUUGUACCCUCAAGCUUUGCUUGGUGUUGGGCGUCUUGUCUCUAGCUUUGCUGGAGACUCGCCUUAAAGUAAUUGGCAGCCGGCCUACUGGUUUCGGAGCGCAGCACAAGUCGCACUCUCUAUCAGCAAAGGUCUAGCAUCCAUUAAGCCUUUUUUUCAACUUUUGACCUCGGAUCAGGUAGGGAUACCCGCUGAACUUAAGCAUAUCAUUUAAGCGGAGGAAGAA